UAAACACUAAAAAACAACAUAUAAAAGUAGUCAUUUUUUCCCCAUUUCACCACCUUUCUUAGCCUGCCAACCUUCUUUCUUAUUGGAGUACUUCCUUGUUCCCCAUCCACCUUAUUUUUCCUUGGCCUGCCUACCUUCUUAUGAACUAAGAACUACUCCCUUCUCCUAUUGACUAUGUAGAACUAUUCCUUUCUUUUGUUGGCACUUGAGAACUACUCCCUUCUUCUGUUUUUCUCCUUAUUCGCUUAGGAGUUGGCUUGUCUGGGUUGAUCUCAUAAAGUAUAAAAUCUGUAAUUUCCACAACUAAUCGGAACAAUCCCUGUGCUUUCUUCUUAUUCUUUUCUUCUUGGAUCUUCGCUCUCAACUCCCUUACCUUUUUCUGUUUCAAGACGAAGUGUUUU
RNAcentral lists this long non-coding RNA (401 nucleotides) under Carica papaya (papaya). Its description in RNAcentral is "long non-coding RNA (CPAP_LNC008996)". Lineage: Eukaryota; Viridiplantae; Streptophyta; Magnoliopsida; Brassicales; Caricaceae. The record is from RNAcentral.